GACGAACGCUGGCGGCGUGCUUAACACAUGCAAGUCGAACGGUAAGGCCCUUCGGGGUACACGAGUGGCGAACGGGUGAGUAACACGUGGGUGAUCUGCCCUGCUCUUCGGGAUAAGCCUGGGAAACUGGGUCUAAUACCGGAUAGGACUCCUGGCUUCAUGGUUGGGGGUGGAAAGCUUUUGCGGUGUGGGAUGGGCCCGCGGCCUAACAGCUUGUUGGUGGGGGAAUGGCCUACCAAGGCGACGACGGGUAGCCGGCCUGAGAGGGUGACCGGUCACACUGGGACUGAGAUACGGCCCGGACUCCUACGGGAGGCAGCAGUGGGGAAUAUUGCACUAUGGGCGCAAGCCUGAUGCAGCGACGCCGCGUGAGGGAUGACGGCCUUCGGGUUGUAAACCUCUUUCAGCUAUGACGAAGCGCAAGUGACGGUAGUAGCAGAAGAAGGACCGGCCAACUACGUGCCAGCCGCCGCCGUAA
RNAcentral lists this ribosomal RNA (478 nucleotides) under uncultured bacterium. RNAcentral's name for it is "partial 16S ribosomal RNA". It matches the Rfam family "Bacterial small subunit ribosomal RNA", at positions 28 to 523 of the family's 1533-position model. The record is from RNAcentral.